Molecule: ribosomal RNA, 393 nt
Filed under: uncultured bacterium
Lineage: Bacteria
Description: partial 16S ribosomal RNA
Rfam family: Bacterial small subunit ribosomal RNA
Source: RNAcentral
AUACGGAGGAUCCGAGCGUUAUCCGGAUUUAUUGGGUUUAAAGGGUGCGUAGGUGGUUUGAUAAGUCAGCGGUGAAAGUUUGCAGCUUAACUGUAAAAAUGCCGUUGAAACUGUCGGACUUGAGUGUAAAUGAGGUAGGCGGAAUGCGUGGUGUAGCGGUGAAAUGCAUAGAUAUCACGCAGAACUCCGAUUGCGAAGGCAGCUUACUAAGCUACAACUCACACUGAAGCAAGAAAGCGUGGGGAUCAAACAGGAAUAGAUACCCUGGUAGUCCACGCAGUAAACGAUGAUUACUAGCUGUUUGCGAGACACAGUAAUCGGCACAUCGAAAGCGUUAAGUAUUCCACCUGGGGAGUACACCGGCAACGGUGAAACUCAAAGGAAUUGACGGGG